This 424-nucleotide ribosomal RNA is filed under the name uncultured Muricomes sp. Its description in RNAcentral is "bacterial SSU rRNA". It matches the Rfam family "Bacterial small subunit ribosomal RNA", at positions 338 to 779 of the family's 1533-position model. The record is from RNAcentral. Lineage: Bacteria; Bacillati; Bacillota; Clostridia; Lachnospirales; Lachnospiraceae.
CCUACGGGAGGCAGCAGUGGGGAAUAUUGGGCAAUGGGCGCAAGCCUGACCCAGCAACGCCGCGUGAAGGAAGAAGGCUUUCGGGUUGUAAACUUCUAUCAGCAGGGAAGAAAAUGACGGUACCUGACUAAGAAGCCCCGGCUAACUACGUGCCAGCAGCCGCGGUAAUACGUAGGGGGCAAGCGUUAUCCGGAUUUACUGGGUGUAAAGGGAGCGUAGACGGAGUGGCAAGUCUGAUGUGAAAACCCGGGGCUCAACCCCGGGACUGCAUUGGAAACUGUCAAUCUAGAGUACCGGAGAGGUAAGCGGAAUUCCUAGUGUAGCGGUGAAAUGCGUAGAUAUUAGGAGGAACACCAGUGGCGAAGGCGGCUUACUGGACAGUAACUGACGUUGAGGCUCGAAAGCGUGGGGAGCAAACAGGAUU